Molecule: ribosomal RNA, 462 nt
Filed under: Cryptococcus sp. EXF-3749
Lineage: Eukaryota; Fungi; Basidiomycota; Tremellomycetes; Tremellales; Cryptococcaceae
Description: eukaryotic LSU rRNA
Rfam family: Eukaryotic large subunit ribosomal RNA
Source: RNAcentral
AAUCUAUAGAGGCGUUUUCCGCGCCGGACCGCGUCCAAGUCUCUUGGAAUAGAGUAUCAAAGAGGGUGACAAUCCCGUACUUGACGCGACAACCGGUGCUCUGUGAUACGUUCUCAACGAGUCGAGUUGUUUGGGAAUGCAGCUCUAAAUGGGUGGUAAAUUCCAUCUAAGGCUAAAUAUUGGCGAGAGACCGAUAGCGAACAAGUACCGUGAGGGAAAGAUGAAAAGCACUUUGGAAAGAGAGUUAAACAGCACGUGAAAUUGUUAAAAGGGAAACGAUUGAAGUCAGUCGUGUGAAAGGUAUUCAGCCGUCUCUGGCGGUGUAUUUGCCUUUCACGGGUCAACAUCAGUUUAGUCCGGUAGAAAAAGGCUGGAGGAAGGUGGCACCCUCGGGUGUGUUAUAGCCUCCUGUCAUAUGUGCCGGAUUAGACUGAGGAACGCAGCUUGCAGCAAUGCCGGGGU